RNAcentral lists this ribosomal RNA (274 nucleotides) under uncultured bacterium. RNAcentral's name for it is "partial 16S ribosomal RNA". It matches the Rfam family "Bacterial small subunit ribosomal RNA", at positions 523 to 796 of the family's 1533-position model. The record is from RNAcentral.
AUACGGAGGGUGCAAGCGUUACUCGGAAUCACUGGGCGUAAAGCGCGCGCAGGCGGCUAUUUAAGUUGGAUGUGAAAGCCUACGGCUCAACCGUAGAACUGCAUCCAAAACUACUUAGCUAGAGUGUGGGAGAGGAAGAUGGAAUUAGUUGUGUAGGGGUAAAAUCCGUAGAGAUAACUAGGAAUACCAAAAGCGAAGGCAAUCUUCUGGAACACUACUGACGCUGAGGCGCGAAAGCGUGGGGAGCAAACGGGAUUAGAAACCCUAGUAGUCC